This 497-nucleotide ribosomal RNA is filed under the name uncultured bacterium. RNAcentral's name for it is "partial 16S ribosomal RNA". It matches the Rfam family "Bacterial small subunit ribosomal RNA", at positions 28 to 507 of the family's 1533-position model. The record is from RNAcentral.
GAUGAACGCUGGCGGCGUGCCUAAUACAUGCAAGUCGAGCGAACGGACGAGAAGCUUGCUUCUCUGAUGUUAGCGGCGGACGGGUGAGUAACACGUGGAUAGCCUACCUAUAAGACUGGGAUAACUUCGGGAAACCGGAGCUAAUACCGGAUAAUAUUUUGAACCGCAUGGUUCAAAAGUGAAAGACGGUCUUGCUGUCACUUAUAGAUGGAUCCGCGCUGCAUUAGCUAGUUGGUAAGGUAACGGCUUACCAAGGCAACGAUGCAUAGCCGACCUGAGAGGGUGAUCAGCCACACUGGAACUGAGACACGGUCCAGACUCCUACGGGAGGCAGCAGUAGGGAAUAUUCCGCAAUGGGCGAAAGCCUGACGGAGCAACGCCGCGUGAGUGAUGAAGGUCUUCGGAUCGUAAAACUCUGUUAUUAGGGAAGAACAUAUGUGUAAGUAACUGUGCACAUCUUGACGGUACCUAAUCAGAAAGCCACGGCUAACUACGUG